ACAGCAGCAGCCGCGGUAAUACGUAGGGUGCAAGCGUUACUCGGAAUUACUGGGCGUAAAGCGUGUGUAGGUGGUUGUUUAAGUCUGUCGUGAAAGCCCUGGGCUCAACCUGGGAAUUGCGAUGGAUACUGGGCGACUAGAGUGCGGUAGAGGAUAGUGGAAUUUCCGGUGUAGCAGUGAAAUGCGUAGAGAUCGGAAGGAACAUCUGUGGCGAAGGCGACUAUCUGGGCCAACACUGACACUGAGGCACGAAAGCGUGGGGAGCAAACAGGAUUAGAUACCCCUGUAGUCCCUGUCUCUUAUAC
This 305-nucleotide ribosomal RNA is filed under the name uncultured bacterium. RNAcentral describes it as "partial 16S ribosomal RNA". It matches the Rfam family "Bacterial small subunit ribosomal RNA", at positions 505 to 807 of the family's 1533-position model. The record is from RNAcentral.